Molecule: long non-coding RNA, 1696 nt
Organism: Bubalus bubalis (water buffalo)
Lineage: Eukaryota; Metazoa; Chordata; Mammalia; Artiodactyla; Bovidae
Exons: 2
Source: RefSeq, a predicted model, not a curated record
UUCCAUUUCCCCCAACGUUUGACACGAAAGGCUUUUCUGAUAGGCUGCCUCCGCAGUGGCCUCAGUACAGCUGAUUCUCUGGGGGUCAGGAUCAUAUAAAUAGUUGCUGCGGGGGGCACCUGGUCUCAGACCAGAGGAGCGACAUCUCUGCCACCGCUGCCGCCCGGUCCCGAGGCGGGGUCCCGGUCGCCCGCGCGCCGCCCCAUGCACCUCUGCCUCGGCCGGUGCGCACCCCCGCGGAUCGGCCGCGGGGAUCCGCGGCCCCGGCCGGCCUUCCGCUCCUGUCUGGCACCACCUACCGAAGCCCGGAGGCCCAGGAAGCGGGUGGUGUUCGCAGACACCAAAGGGCUCUCGCUGACGUCCGUGCACAGCUUUGGAGAUGCUGAGGGCGCAGACUCAGAGAAGAACUUAUGCGGUGGGUCCAGGGGAGCGCGCCCCGCACCGCCCAGCUCGCCAAAGCCAAGACCCUCGGUUCCGGGCCUCCCGGGCCCGGGCAGGACUCCCGGGUCCCCCGAGGCGUCUGCAGACCCCCCGUGGCCGGGGGCUUCCAGCGAGGCGCCGUGCGGGCUCGAGGGCUAGGUUUCCAUAAGGUGCCGCCCUUGCGCAUCGCUCUGGGUGCCUGGGGCUCCGUCCUUGAAACGCCGCGACUCACGCCUGACGCCUAGUUCACCGCCCUGCCCAUCAGAAUGAAACUGAACUCUUCGAGGGCGCACAUAUAGGAGCCCUCGCGGGUUACUUUCUCUGCGUCAAGCGAGAAUCCCUGGCUCAGAGUGUGCGCACCUUUCCGAUUUCCCCUGGAGCCCGUCUCGGACUCUUCCAGCAUCACUGUGGGGAGAUGAGACGAACACAACUCCUAGCCCCUCAGCAAGCCUUGAAUGCCCUGCAUUCUUAUCUCUCAAAGAAAGAUGCUGCCAAUGGCGCCUGGCCCCCUUCACCCUCUGCAGAGAAGCCAAAUGUAAACAAAGCUUUGUUAUAAUUAUUUCAAAGGCCUGGAAGAGAGUGUCUGUAAGCAAGGUGCAGGUGGGUAGGCCGAGAUGGGGAUGGGAGGAGGAACUGAGAAUAGAAAUGGGCUCUUUUACUUCCCUCUCCCUUUGGAAAAGGCUCAUUUUCUGGUAGUUUCUUAAGCUUUUUCUUUUGACCAGCCCUGCGGCAUGUGGGAUCUUAGUUCCCCAGACCAGCGAUGGAACCUCAUCACUCCCUACCCUGGAAGUGCAGAGUCUUAACCACUGGAUGGCCAGGGAAGUCCUUUGCUUCUUCAACUUUUGCCAAAAGAAAUGUUUGUUGACGCAUUUUCAAGCUGUAAACAAUUGACCUUUCUCCUCUUCAGCAGAUAAGAGUCUGGGACAAGUCUGUCUACCUUAAAAUAGGCACACUUAAAAAAAUUAAUGUUUACACCUGCGAUGCAGGAGAGGGGGGUUCCAUUCCUGGGUGAGGAAAAUCCCCUGGAGGAGGAAAUGGCAACUCACUCUGGUAUUCUUGCCUGGAGAAUCCCAUGGACAGAGGAGCCUGGCUGGCUACAGUCCAUGGGGUUGGAUACGACCGAGCAACUAAGCAUGCACCUUUUUAAAACUAUAAUUUACUGAGGCCAGAAGGCUGACCUUUGCUUCUGUGGAUACCCACACUUUCCCUGUUGUAUUUACCACCCUGUAUUGAAACUGUCCACUAAACUGUCAUAAAUAAAGAAUGCUGCCCACCA